Long non-coding RNA from Drosophila novamexicana, 586 nucleotides. RefSeq lists it as uncharacterized. Lineage: Eukaryota; Metazoa; Arthropoda; Insecta; Diptera; Drosophilidae. The transcript has 3 exons. The record is from RefSeq and is a predicted model, not a curated record.
GUGCAUAGCUCUUGCAGGAGCUAAAAAGAAAUGUGAAAGCUAAAAAACUGAACAAAACAAUUGUAAAACAUGGACAAAUGUAUAAAAAAAAAAAUCGGAAGUUAACUAGUUAGUUAAGUAAAAAGUGAAAACCGUUUUCAUAUUGACAAUCAAAAAAAAUACAUCGAUCGAGAACUCUGCGAGAAUUGAUGUACUGGGAUGUUCCACAAAAUUAAAUGCAUAGAUAUAAAAUCGCAUUUUUAGGCCCAUUUUGGCGAGGAUUGAAACUGAAUAUACAUUUAAGGAAUAUUGUAGAGAUUCCUCGAAUUGUUUCUUCUACUUCUCAAUAGACAACACAAACAUGAACUGUUCUACAAAAAGCACAUUUUGGUUUAACUGCAAGAAGUGUGUUUAGCAAGGCAACUGGAAAAUGCUAAGAGGACAAUUUUCAGGAUUUUUGCUUUAUUCUAUUAGACGCAAAUAAUGCGCACUGUUCAAUUGAGAGCUGAAUACGUAGCAUCUAUUUAGCAUAUGCUGAUCUUGACAACACUAAAUUUAAUAUUUUGAAAAUCUAAAAUAAAAUUGAACAAUUAAUAUAUAUUGAAAA